RNAcentral lists this ribosomal RNA (505 nucleotides) under uncultured bacterium. Its description in RNAcentral is "partial 16S ribosomal RNA". It matches the Rfam family "Bacterial small subunit ribosomal RNA", at positions 29 to 523 of the family's 1533-position model. The record is from RNAcentral.
AGUGAACGCUGGCGGUAGGCCUAACACAUGCAAGUCGAACGGCAGCACAGAGGAGCUUGCUCCUUGGUGGCGAGUGGCGGACGGGUGAGGAAUACAUCGGAAUCUACUCUGUCGUGGGGGAUAACGUAGGGAAACUUACGCUAAUACCGCAUACGACCUACGGGUGAAAGCAGGGGAUCUUCGGACCUUGCGCGAUUGAAUGAGCCGAUGUCGGAUUAGCUAGUUGGCGGGGUAAAGGCCCACCAAGGCGACGAUCCGUAGCUGGUCUGAGAGGAUGAUCAGCCACACUGGAACUGAGACACGGUCCAGACUCCUACGGGAGGCAGCAGUGGGGAAUAUUGGACAAUGGGCGCAAGCCUGAUCCAGCCAUACCGCGUGGGUGAGGAAGGCCUUCGGGUUGUAAAGCCCUUUUGUUGGGAAAGAAAUCCAUCUGGUUAAUACCCGGGUGGGAUGACGGUACCCAAAGAAUAAGCACCGGCUAACUUCGUGCCAGCCGCCGCAGUAA